UCCAAAACAGGGGAUACCCCCCUUCCCUCACUCUUCCCCAAACGCGGUUGCAAGCCCGACGUCCGGUGACCACCCCCAUACUGUCUAAUGGUGGAGACUCGACGAUGCAGCCUCGAACACCAUCCGACAUCAACCAUGCUGGUGGUGGUCGGCGGAACAAAGAAGAAAGCCGAACAGGAGAAAUUGAUUUCAAUAAAAAACCGACGACUUACUGGUCACGAAUCAAAGCAAGAUGGUGGCAAACAAAUCAGAGAAGAAGGAGAGAAAGGAUUGAGGUCGUAACCUCAACUCCGACGAGAUGAAAGAAGCAAUUCCGACAACUUAUUUCUGACAAAAUCCAAAGGAAAACUCGAUGAAACCCUUGAAAAUCGAUGGUGAUUUCCUUGGAAAUUUGGUGACGGACUCUAAGAGAGCAGAAGAGCAUCCUUUUAUAGAUGGAAAUCUAGGGAUUAAUCCAAGUUUGUGGACCCCAAAUUUUUUUUCCCAGCCGUAUUCAGAGAAGAGGAAGACUCCAUUGCAAGUCUUCCUUCUCCCUGCCUCACGUGCACAGCACAUGAGGCUUGAAUGUUUUUUUUUCAUCUCUUUGUUCAUGCUUCGAGAUUCGUGCAGGGGAGGAUCAGGUUUGGUAGGUUAUUACAGAAGUGAUCUU
This 649-nucleotide long non-coding RNA is filed under the name Elaeis guineensis (African oil palm). RNAcentral's name for it is "long non-coding RNA (EGUI_LNC028660)". Lineage: Eukaryota; Viridiplantae; Streptophyta; Magnoliopsida; Arecales; Arecaceae. The record is from RNAcentral.